UUCGCCCUUUUCCGGUUGAUCCUGCCGGACCUGACUGCUAUCGGAUUGAUACUAAGCCAUGCGAGUCAUUGUAGUAAUACAAGGCAGACGGCUCAGUAACGCGUAGUCAACCUAACCUAUGGACGGGAAUAACCUCGGGAAACUGAGUAUAAUGCCCGAUAGAACAUUAUGCCUGGAAUGGUUUAUGUUCCAAAUGAUUUAUCGCCGUAGGAUGGGACUGCGGCCUAUCAGUUUGUUGGUGAGGUAAUGGCCCACCAAGACUAUUACAGGUACGGGCUCUGAGAGGAGUAGCCCGGAGAUGGGUACUGAGACACGGACCCAGGCCCUAUGGGGCGCAGCAGGCGAGAAAACUUUGCAAUGUGCGAAAGCACGACAAGGUUAAUCCGAGUGGUUUCUGCUAAAGGAACCUUUUGUUAGUCCUAGAAACACUAACGAAUAAGGGGUGGGCAAGUUCUGGUGUCAGCCGCCGCGGUAAAACCAGCACCUCAAGUGGUCAGGAUGAUUAUUGGGCCUAAAGCAUCCGUAGCCGGCUCUGUAAGUUUUCGGUUAAAUCUGUACGCUCAACGUACAGGCUGCCGGGAAUACUGCAGAGCUAGGGA
RNAcentral lists this ribosomal RNA (599 nucleotides) under uncultured archaeon. Its description in RNAcentral is "bacterial SSU rRNA". It matches the Rfam family "Archaeal small subunit ribosomal RNA", at positions 1 to 598 of the family's 1478-position model. The record is from RNAcentral.